GCUCCAAGUGGGCCAGGCGCAGUGGCUCAUAGAUGACUGAUUUUAAGACUGAUAUUUUAUAUACCACUGAGAAAGAAAAAAAGUCAAUUUAACUGUAAUAUGCCACUAAUUGUAAGACACACCCAAAUUUUAGUGAAUAAAAUUGGAAAAUGUUUCUUAGGAUCCAUAAAACAUGCCAUACAGUCAAUGAAAGAACUAUCAACACAUUACAAAUAACAGAAAUGAAAAGUUGUUUGGACCAUCUUUUCUUUACUCCUUCCCAGAUG
This 266-nucleotide long non-coding RNA is filed under the name Homo sapiens (human). Its description in RNAcentral is "HSALNT0191133". The record is from RNAcentral. Lineage: Eukaryota; Metazoa; Chordata; Mammalia; Primates; Hominidae.